CAGCAGGAACUGGCCGACUGUCUGAAGAAGUUGUCCAUGUGUGAGGCUUCUCUGGAGGUCAACACACGGUACCGUAAUGAUCUGGAGGAAGAGAAGGCGCGCACACUCAAGGACAUGGACAGAUUGAAGGGAAAGCUGCAGGAGUCUGAGGAAGUGUACGUCCAGGCCGAGAGACGCAUUAGCCAGCUGAAGAGCUCUCUGGACGACAAGGAGCGAGAAGCCUGCAGUACCGCUCAGAAACUAGAGGAGGCGCUAGCUGCUUCCACAGGCAAAGAGCAAACCAUUAAACAGCUGGAGGAGGCGGUGCAGAGGUUAGAGAUCGAGAACGCCAGACUGGAGGCCACAGCCAAACAGCAGACCAACCGCAUCGAGGUGCUUCAGAAGGGCUUUCAGGAGGGCGCUGUGCAAUCAGGCUCAUCACCUGGAGAAGGGGUCAGGAAUCGUUUGGAAGAUAUUGUCACAAACCUGCAGAGCAGUAAGAUGACGCUAGAAGAACAACUCAACCGAGAGGUACAGAAGCAGAGUAUGCUAUCCCAUAAUGCCCAGGACUCACAAGCACUGUGGGAGGAGGAGCUAAAGAGCCGCUCACGACUGGGACUCCGCCUCUCUGAGCUGGAGAAAGAGAAAGGAGAACUGACCAAUCAGAUGGAGCUCGAGAAGAAAAAGGCCAAAAAACUAGCCGAGCAGAAGAAAUCUUUGGACACGCGUCUGGAGCAGGAGAUGAAGAGAAACACUGACCUUCAGAAAGAAAUGUACAGGUUGAAAACUCUGUUGAAGACCGCUAAGAAGCAGCUGCGUGAACAGGGCGGUGGACAGCUGGACUCUCCUCUGGGCAGCUUCAGAGGAGACAUGAGCCACCGGCUGGAGGCAGAGAGCGCCGUCAGCAGAAUGAAGACCCGGGUGGAUGAGCUGCAGUCUCAGUACGAGCGGGAGGCGUCGCGCUGCUCGCGGCUGGAGGAGGUGCUGGUCGCGGCUGGAGGAGGUGAACAGACAGCUGAAGGAGAAGCUGUCGUCUGUGAAGAGCCUGAGCCGAAGCUACGAGCAGCUGGAGCGCAGCAAGAGUCAGCUGGAGGAGGAGGUGGCCAGUCUGCGGCGGCAGCUGGAGGCCGGUGUGAUGGACCAGAGCCAGGCCGAGCAGUACCGCCGGGAGACGGAGGAAAGAGCCCGACAGGAGAUCCGACACAAACUAGAGGAGGUCAACCUCUUCCUGCAGACGCAGGCGGCGUCUCAGGAAGCUCUGGAGCAGAUGAAAGCUGCUAAUGAGGCCAGUCAGCGCACUCAGCAGGAGCAGCGCAUCAGGGAUCUGGAGGGAGAACUCAGCCGUUUACNNNNNNNNNNNNNNNNNNNNNNNNNNAGGACAGUCUCGUUCAGAGAGACUCCAGCCACA
RNAcentral lists this long non-coding RNA (1387 nucleotides) under Sinocyclocheilus anshuiensis. RNAcentral's name for it is "lncRNA (ENSSANG00000025539.1)". The record is from RNAcentral. Lineage: Eukaryota; Metazoa; Chordata; Actinopteri; Cypriniformes; Cyprinidae.